RNAcentral lists this ribosomal RNA (896 nucleotides) under Drechmeria balanoides. RNAcentral describes it as "LSU rRNA". It matches the Rfam family "Eukaryotic large subunit ribosomal RNA", at positions 38 to 964 of the family's 3401-position model. The record is from RNAcentral. Lineage: Eukaryota; Fungi; Ascomycota; Sordariomycetes; Hypocreales; Ophiocordycipitaceae.
GCAUAUCAAUAAGCGGAGGAAAAGAAACCAACAGGGAUUGCCCCAGUAACGGCGAGUGAAGCGGCAACAGCUCAAAUUUGAAAUCUGGCCCCCAGGGCCCGAGUUGUAAUUUGCAGAGGAUGCUUUUGGCGCGGCGCCUUCCGAGUUCCCUGGAACGGGACGCCACAGAGGGUGAGAGCCCCGUCUGGUCGGACGCCUAGCCUGUGUAAAGCUCCUUCGACGAGUCGAGUAGUUUGGGAAUGCUGCUCUAAAUGGGAGGUAUAUGUCUUCUAAAGCUAAAUAUUGGCCAGAGACCGAUAGCGCACAAGUAGAGUGAUCGAAAGAUGAAAAGCACUUUGAAAAGAGGGUUAAACAGUACGUGAAAUUGUUGAAAGGGAAGCGCUCGUCACCAGACUUGCGCCCGGCGGAUCAUCCGGCGUUCUCGCCGGUGCACUCCGCCGGGCGCAGGCCAGCAUCAGUUCGCCGCGGGGGACAAAGGCGGCGGGAACGUGGCUCCCCCGGGAGUGUUAUAGCCCGCCGCGCAAUGCCCUGGGGCGGACUGAGGUCCGCGCAUCGCAAGGAUGCUGGCGUAAUGGUGAUCAGCGACCCGUCUUGAAACACGGACCAAGGAGUCGUCCUCGUAUGCGAGUGUUCGGGUGUGAAACCCCUACGCGUAAUGAAAGUGAACGCAGGUGAGAGCUUCGGCGCAUCAUCGACCGAUCCUGAUGUUCUCGGAUGGAUUUGAGUAAGAGCAUACGGGGCCGGACCCGAAAGAAGGUGAACUAUGCCUGUAUAGGGUGAAGCCAGAGGAAACUCUGGUGGAGGCUCGCAGCGGUUCUGACGUGCAAAUCGAUCGUCAAAUAUGGGCAUGGGGGGCGAAAGACUAAUCGAACCUUCUAGUAGCUGGUUUCCGCCGA